This 190-nucleotide ribosomal RNA is filed under the name uncultured Sphingobacteriales bacterium. RNAcentral describes it as "partial 16S ribosomal RNA". It matches the Rfam family "Bacterial small subunit ribosomal RNA", at positions 337 to 525 of the family's 1533-position model. The record is from RNAcentral. Lineage: Bacteria; Pseudomonadati; Bacteroidota; Sphingobacteriia; Sphingobacteriales.
UCCUACGGAGGCAGCAGUAAGGAAUAUUGGUCAAUGGACGAAAGUCUGAACCAGCCAUGCCGCGUGAAGGAUGAAGGUCCUCUGGAUUGUAAACUUCUUUUAUCUGGGACGAAAAAAGGGAAUUCUUUCUCACUUGACGGUACCAGAAGAAUAAGCACCGGCUAACUCCGUGCCAGCAGCCGCGGUAAUA